RNAcentral lists this ribosomal RNA (492 nucleotides) under uncultured bacterium. Its description in RNAcentral is "partial 16S ribosomal RNA". It matches the Rfam family "Bacterial small subunit ribosomal RNA", at positions 29 to 507 of the family's 1533-position model. The record is from RNAcentral.
AGUGAACGCUGGCGGUAGGCCUAACACAUGCAAGUCGAACGGCAGCACAGUAAGAGCUUGCUCUUACGGGUGGCGAGUGGCGGACGGGUGAGGAAUACAUCGGAAUCUACUUUUUCGUGGGGGAUAACGGAGGGAAACUUACGCUAAUACCGCAUACGACCUACGGGUGAAAGCAGGGGAUCUUCGGACCUUGCGCGAUUGAAUGAGCCGAUGUCGGAUUAGCUAGUUGGCGGGGUAAAGGCCCACCAAGGCGACGAUCCGUAGCUGGUCUGAGAGGAUGAUCAGCCACACUGGAACUGAGACACGGUCCAGACUCCUACGGGAGGCAGCAGUGGGGAAUAUUGGACAAUGGGCGCAAGCCUGACCCAGCCAUACCGCGUGGGUGAAGAAGGCCUUCGGGUUGUAAAGCCCUUUUGUUGGGAAAGAACAGCAGCAGGUUAAUACCCCGCUGUUCUGACGGUACCCAAAGAAUAAGCACCGGCUAACUUCGUG